This 429-nucleotide ribosomal RNA is filed under the name uncultured Hyphomicrobiales bacterium. Its description in RNAcentral is "bacterial SSU rRNA". It matches the Rfam family "Bacterial small subunit ribosomal RNA", at positions 29 to 505 of the family's 1533-position model. The record is from RNAcentral. Lineage: Bacteria; Pseudomonadati; Pseudomonadota; Alphaproteobacteria; Hyphomicrobiales.
AACGAACGCUUGCGGCAGGCUUAACACAUGCAAGUCGAACGCCCCUUCGGGGGAGUGGCAGACGGGUGAGUAACACGUGGGAACCUACCUUUCGGUACGGAAUAACUGAGCGAAAGCCCAGCUAAUACCGUAUACGCCCUUCGGGGGAAAGAUUUAUUGCCGAAAGAUGGGCCCGCGUCGGAUUAGCUUGUUGGUGGGGUAACGGCCUACCAAGGCGACGAUCCGUAGCUGGUCUGAGAGGACGAUCAGCCACACUGGGACUGAGACACGGCCCAGACUCCUACGGGAGGCAGCAGUGGGGAAUCUUGGACAAUGGGCGAAAGCCUGAUCCAGCCAUGCCGCGUGAGUGAUGAAGGCCUUAGGGUUGUAAAGCUCUUUUACCAGGGACGAUAAUGACGGUACCUGGAGAAUAAGCCCCGGCUAACUUCG